This 881-nucleotide long non-coding RNA is filed under the name Brachypodium distachyon (stiff brome). RNAcentral's name for it is "long non-coding RNA (BDIS_LNC003240)". The record is from RNAcentral. Lineage: Eukaryota; Viridiplantae; Streptophyta; Magnoliopsida; Poales; Poaceae.
GGCGAUGUAGUCGCGCGGCUUCAUCUCCAAGGCGAUGUGGUUUUUCGUGGGCAUCGACGAAGUGCAGCAGCAAGGCGGCUCGACGCGGAGCAGCGGCAACACAGUAGCAGGCAGCGGCAACAAACAGUAGCACACAGACUGACAAGCAGGGCCCACACGUCAAGGUUUAACAAUUUCAGGAAAAGAAGAAAAAGGAAAAGAGAGCACGGGCCUGGGCUUGGAUCUGGCUUGGGCUUGGGCGUGCCGGGCUUGCUCGGGCCUGGUCCGGGCUGGGCUAGGCCAACACGCCGGGCGGCAGCAGCGCGCUGGAGGCAGAGGAGGCUGGUGGGGAGCGCUGCAGGUGGGUGCUGGCGGCGGAGCUCGCGCGGAGGUGGAGCGGAGCAGGGAGCUCGGGCGGCACGGUGCACUGGAGGCGCGCGGCAGCAAGGAGAAGGGGAGACAGAGCGGGCUCGGCGGCGAAGCUGCGCGGGGAGCGAGGGGAGGCGCGCGGCGAGGCGGCCGGAGCAGAGGCGCGGGUGAGGGGCGAGCUCGGCGACGGGGAAGAGAGAGGCGGAGCGGGCCGGCGAGGUGGUGGCGCUGGAGCAGGGGAGGCGGAGCGGGCCGGCGAGGGGAGCGGGAGGCGCGCGGGGAGCUUGGGCGGCACGGUGGUUGCGUGGAGUGAGGGGAGGUGCGCGGCGACGGGAGAGGCGGCUCGGCCGAGGUGGAGAGGGGAGAUGGAGGGAGCAAGGGGAGGCACGGCGACGGGGAGCAGCAGGUGAGAGAGGGAGCCAGCCAUGGAGGAGCUCGGGGAAGGGAGAGAUCGGGUGGAGAAGGAAGAAGGAGAAAGAAGGCUGCGGCGGCGGCUCGGAGGAAGAGAGGAAGAAAAGAAAGGAAAAAGGGGA